RNAcentral lists this long non-coding RNA (649 nucleotides) under Homo sapiens (human). RNAcentral's name for it is "HSALNT0394343". Lineage: Eukaryota; Metazoa; Chordata; Mammalia; Primates; Hominidae. The record is from RNAcentral.
CACUCUCGGAUGAUUGAGGGAACUGAGUUUUGUCUCUGAGUCCAUUCAGUCAAGAUCUGUAAGUAUUGUGCACAGAAAAGAGGAUCCUCUGAGGUGACCUUGGCAAUGGAUACCUUGAAGCUGCAUUAGUUGGGUGAAUUAGCAUUCAGUUAAAUUUCAACAAUUAUCUACUGAACACCUACUGUGCUUGCAGUUCUGCCAGAGAAAGGACUGGAAUUAGACAAAGUGAAUCUCCUGUUUCUGGAAUUAUCAAGAAGACUACAGAAAAUUAUAGGAGUGACUCCGAAAUGCUAUGGAAGAGAUUCCUGCAUUGUCAUGCAUAAAGGCAGAUAUGAGACCUGAAACUGGGGCAGCCAUUGCGAGACCCUGAUGACAGCCAGCCCAAUGGCAAUGCAGACACACACAGCAUGGUGGCAUGAGAUCAUGUCCUAAGAAAUGAGAGAAUUUGAUGUCAUCGUGUGCUGCAGUCAGCCAGCCUUGGAACUCACCAUACCUCUGGACUGCUUGAUAGGUGGAGCAGAAGCUGCAGCUUUACACCUAUGCUUCAGCCUGCGCUGGCCACAGCAGAGAUGACAAGAGACUCGAAGGAGUUUUGUGGAUAGGAACACGAACUAUCUCAAGAGUGACCAGUGUAUACUUAUGGCUGAGG